Macaca mulatta (Rhesus monkey) is the source of this 524-nucleotide non-coding RNA. Lineage: Eukaryota; Metazoa; Chordata; Mammalia; Primates; Cercopithecidae. The record is from RefSeq and is a predicted model, not a curated record.
GAAACAUACUGAAGGGAGAGGCUGAGGGCUUCCCAGGACCCCACCAAUAUAAAUUACCAAACUGCUUAUAGCUAAGACCCCAUUGCCUGGAAACCAACUGACCACCAUGGCCUCAGAACCUGGGCGCUUUGACAGCUGGAUUCUUGACAUCCGUUGAUCUAAAGCUAGAAACCUACUACUUCAUCACCUUCAAUGUGUUUCUCAGUGUCUCCUUUCCUGACUGUGGAAGGCAGGUCAGUGAGCGGAGGGAAUUUUUGUCCAACGUGCACCUUGACAGAGCUUCACUGACCACGGGCUGUGUCUCCCUGCGGCCGCGCAGCACCUCUGACCACAGACCUCUCUCCAGAGCCGUGUGUUUGCUCCUCACCUGACAGGCUGUGUGAGAACCCAUCUGUGCUUCCCCGGGAUGUCUGCCUGCAUGCAUGCACCCCCCGACUGUGCAUGGGAACCCUGCUGGGCCUGUAGGUGGAAUUAUUUCUCAGCUUUAAUCUGAGUACAUAAUCGAGGCUUGUGCCAGCAAGGAC